RNA transcript from Dermacentor silvarum, 2491 nucleotides. It is a transcript of the gene named PHD finger protein 7, with no coding region annotated. NCBI's taxonomy places the organism in Eukaryota, Metazoa, Arthropoda, Arachnida, Ixodida, Ixodidae. The record is from RefSeq and is a predicted model, not a curated record. The transcript has 12 exons.
CACCAACUUCACGGGAAAGCCGGGAUGUGAGCGGCUUGGCUUGUCUUGAAUUGCUCAAAGUAAGAUUUGGAUAAGCCGUUAAAAGCCGUAAAUCCUCCAAAGCCAUAAGCCAAAGCUAGACAAAGCAUUAAAGCCGCCGAAGCUUCGUUCUCUUCUGAUUGGUUACGACUAGCAGGCGUAUUUUUAUGGUGGCUUUGGACUGUUGUGGACGACCUUUGAAAUGGUCAUGGCCCCGCGCCGUAAUAAAACACGCGGCAAGGCAACAGCGGCGGCAGGUUCUAAGCAGGUGCCCAGGUGCGCGUUCUGCGACCUGCCACACAGCGACGACAUCAACGGGGAGCUUCUGAGCCGUAACGGCCUCCACGUGCACUACUUUUGCAUGCUCUUCUCGAGCGGCCUGCACCAGAGAGGCGAGGAGGAGGACCCGCUGCGCGGUUUCCUGGAAACAGACGUGCGCGCCGAGCUGCGCCGCGGCAACAGACUGAUAUGUUGUUUCUGCAAGCGAAGAAAUGCCACGGUCGGCUGCUGCCUACGGGCAUGCAAGAAGGCGUUUCAUAUGCCCUGUGGAGUUGAUCGGGACUGCCUGCUUCAGUUCUUCGGUGACUUCAGAGUGUACUGCGCAGCGCACCGCCCUCGCCAGAAUGUGGUGCCACUGGAACGGGAUGGCCCUAGCCUGUGCUCCAUCUGCUCCGAGGAGAUGGUCCACCCAUCAGUGAAUGUGCUGGUGACGCCCUGCUGCAGGCAGAUGUUCCACCGAGGGUGCAUCCAGCGCCAAGCCAUGAGCGCAGGCAGCCACUUCUUCCGCUGCGGCCACUGCAACAACCAGGAGGCCUUCCAAAGAGAGAUGCAGGACCACGGCAUCUACGUGCCUGACCAAGAUGCCUCCUGGGAGCAGGAGCCACAUGCCUACGAGGAGCUGCUCUACCGGUACCAGCACUGCGACGCACCACGUUGCUCCUGCCCCUUAGGGCGCAGCCACCACCAGGAGGAUAGUCGCUGGAGGAUGGUGGUGUGCGACAGCUGUGGCUCCCAGGGCGUCCAUGCAUCCUGCGGCAACGUGGCAGGCACCCACUGGGUCUGUGCAGACUGCCGCCAGAUCAUCACUCGAGUCGCUUAUAAUACAGCACAAAGAGAAAAGCAGCUGGCUGUCAUGACAUCGGACCUGGCGAGUGAAGAUGACAGCAGCCAGCGCAGAAAGUGGCAGCAGCGGCAGCGGAGACGUGCCGCAAGAUUAAUUUCUUCAGAUGAGGAUGCUGCAGACAAUGGUGGCUUUUCGCAAGGCUCUGAGGAAACUUUUUCAACACGCUUCCGUCUGCAAGCAAGCUUCGCGACCCGUCCCGAGCCUCUAGUCCCACUGAAUAGUACCAGUAGCCGCCCGACUGAUGUGCCUUCCCUGGCGAUGACCUCUGAGCAUGCUGGAUCUUCAGCCAUGCCUACAUCAUCCGUGCAAGGUCAAACUUGCAGAGAAAGGAUUUCGCGAAGUCAAGUGAGUAGAAGUAGCGCUAGCUGUCUGUACAUGUACUGUCAUCUGCAUGUUCUUACGAAUAAAUGUAACUGCUCAUUACCUUUUUUAAUGACAAAGUGGAACUAUCUUGUUAGACUCCAGAGUUGCAUGUGGGCUCGCUGCUGUAGCAGCUGUGGUGAAAUACUGACUCAAAAUUUAGCAAGUAGGUCUUGUAGCUUUCUUUCACAUUGUUUAAGAAAUGUCCGAAUCCUUAUUGCGGUUCCUUAGUCUAGUUGUCUCUAGUUGUCAUCUUCGAUAUACUAAUGCGAAACAUUGUUUUGCUUUUCAUUUAACAGCAUUGCCGAAGAAAAUUCAUAUUGCCGUUCCUUAGUUCCGAAGAAAAUCUAGUUGUCAUCUACGACGUACUAAUGCGAAACAUUUUGCUUUUCCUUGGCAGGACUGCAGAAGAAAAUUCUGAAGUCGUUGGAAGAGAUGAGAGCAGAGCUCUCAGCACAUGGAGACAUUUUAGAGAAGUUAGAAAUGUCGUACUCGCUGCGAGCACAUGCCCGGAGUCCCAGACCUGUUGAUCGCUGCGUGCUUGAUGUACUACCAUUGGCAUCCCAAGAAGGGUUGCAGGAGCUCGAGAGUCAACUCUCUACUGCUCAGAGUAGGACUAAGCUUGUCUCCUGCCUGUCAACAAUAGGAGGAUCGUCUGCACAGGAUUCCAUGCACCACAUAAUGCGGAGGUGCAUGCAAGACAGUUACGCCCAAGGCUUUAGCAUGACGGGGAGGAAAGGGAAGAAACCAUUUGUGGGCCUCCGCCUUUUCAGUACCAUAAUUGAGGCAGUGAAGAAGAACUUCCCUGAUGCUACCGACAUGAUGCUGCGGUCGUAUGCAGCUGAUUGGCUGCGUUGCGCUUCGUCAAGGAUCCAGAGAAGCAUUGGAGUGCACCAGAGGAUGCCAGCUGUGUCAAGUAGUGUGGAGAACCCAUCUGUUCUGGAGCAAAGCUUUCAGGAACAAUAAAAUAAAGUGACUUUUCCCGUGCAA